Molecule: long non-coding RNA, 428 nt
Filed under: Arachis ipaensis
Lineage: Eukaryota; Viridiplantae; Streptophyta; Magnoliopsida; Fabales; Fabaceae
Description: long non-coding RNA (AIPA_LNC000266)
Source: RNAcentral
CUUCCCCCGACCCCAUUCAUUCAUGAUUCAUCUGAAUCAUCUCCAAUGGAUAACCCUAGCCGCCCUGAACCAUAGCCCCCCUGUCGCCAUCCUUCGUCCCCGCGGUCACAGGUCGUCAGCGCCACCGCCAUCGCCUGGACCUCAGCCCCAGUAACCCUCCAUCGUCGCCUGGUUCCCUGCCCAGUAGCCCUCCAUCUCCAUCGUCUUCAUCUUCUCAACACCAGCAAGCAGUAGCCCUCUCAUCGCGCGGUCCUCAACAGUCAACACCGGCAGCCCUCCAUCCCACAUUCAUUCGUCUCAGUCUCGUCUCGUGAACCCUAGCUCUGAAGCAUUCCUAAAUCCCAGCCCAGUAGCCACCGCCGUUGCCGGGGUUCUCAGGUCGUCAGCGCCACCGCGGUCGCCUAGUCUCUUGCUUCGUCUUCGCUGAC